RNAcentral lists this long non-coding RNA (1497 nucleotides) under Nicotiana benthamiana. Its description in RNAcentral is "long non-coding RNA (NBEN_LNC003526)". The record is from RNAcentral. Lineage: Eukaryota; Viridiplantae; Streptophyta; Magnoliopsida; Solanales; Solanaceae.
UUCUCUCUUCCUUCUCUCUACUUUCUCUCUCUAGAUUUUCUCCGAUUCUCUGCAUGUUUUCAACUCUCCUGUUCCUUCUCUUCUUAAAUCCCUCAUUGUCUUCCUUCAAACGUCACCGGAAAUGCUUGAAUUUUGAAUCAUAAAGGAGGAAGAGCCCUAGGAGUUCACUCAAGCCACUAAAUAAUGUUUUCGUUUGUCUCCAAAGAAAAAAUAAUUAAUAUUAUUCUAGGGCUCGAAUGAUUUUCUUUCAAUCUCUUCCUCGGUCUGGCAUAGGUAAGUUCCUUCUCUGUCUUUACCAUUUCAAUUCAAUUAACUUCUUGAUAGUUUAAUUCAUAUUUUAAUCUGAUUAGCGGUGGCCAUUGUUUUAGUUCUUGUUAGUGUUAGGAUUUUUUUUAAUUACAUUUUACUCGUCUUCUUAGAGUAACUGGUUCGUUUUUAUUCAAUUUAGUUUAGGCCUUUGAAAUUGGUUGAUUAUGGCUAAUAUGCCUUUGGGUUAAUUUAAAACCCAAGGUAUAUUUAGGCAGCUUGGGGUGCAAGGUCUGUUUGUAAGUAAUUAACAAGGGUGUUAAGGGUAAUUCAGGUAAUAUAGGUAGGAAAUCUUUCCUAACAAACUGAGAAGGUUCUAGUAUAUAGGGGAGGUGACAUGUAAGGGAGUGAGGAGAGGAUUUUAGGUUUAUCUAGGGAAGGGUAUGAGAUUAAUCUAGGAGGAAAAAAUGACUGAAAAGAGCUAGAAAAUUCUGUGGAUUUCAUGUCUAUAAAAGGGGCAUUUCCCUUACUUAUUUGACAAGUUUGGAGCCCUAAUAUUCCCCCAAGAAAUGUACUUAAGCUCUAACAUAUCUGAAAUUCAAAUUCAGAUCAGAAUAUCAUCUUAAAUCUUAGCUUUCUUCACAUAAAAAGCCAAAAACAUUAGAAAUUACAAAAAUAAUAAAAAAACUGUUAUGUUCCAAUUUCUUAUUUUAAUUUCAAGAUUGAGAGGUUAAUCUGCACUUCCAGUUUAGUUCCCAGUAAUUGGAGGUUUCAGGAGUUCCCUGGUGGGUUUUGCGAGUUGUUUUGGGUCUAUUCAAAUUGGUUUUAAGUUGAUCUGGUAGUUCUAUUUGGUUUUCAACAUUUCUAGACCUCUAAAUUUGCACCUGGGCUGUUGCUGAUCCCUCCAUAUUGCUGAUGAUUCAUUUUUCUUUGUUUUGCCUUCAUUCAGGCACACUUUUGAAUUACCUUGAUGUAACCUUGAGUUGACGUUGAAAUUGAGGUGCCUACCAGAGUUAAGCUCAUUUGGAUGUUGUUCUACAAUGUGAUAGUUCCCAGUUAAAUGAAUGUAGUUGAAUGCUCAAUAUUUGUUUUGUAGAACAACGGUUUAGACUGCCUGAUUUUAUUGAACUGUAAUAGGACUGUUUGGUCGUUAUGUAAAUGACUAUAUACAACUGAGUUUAAUGGAUUGGUUAAGUUGAAGUUAGUUUCAUAUCAAUGGUUAUAUGCAGUAAGAGUUGGUUGUUUUUUUUC